AACGAACGCUGGCGGCAUGCCUAACACAUGCAAGUCGAACGAGACCUUCGGGUCUAGUGGCGCACGGGUGCGUAACGCGUGGGAACCUGCCCUUAGGUUCGGAAUAACUCCCCGAAAGGGGUGCUAAUACCGGAUAAUGUCUUCGGACCAAAGAUUUAUCGCCUUUGGAUGGGCCCGCGUUGGAUUAGCUAGUUGGUAGGGUAAAAGCCGACCAAGGCGACGAUCCAUAGCUGGUCUGAGAGGAUGAUCAGCCACACUGGGACUGAGACACGGCCCAGACUCCUACGGGAGGCAGCAGUGGGGAAUAUUGGACAAUGGGCGAAAGCCUGAUCCAGCCAUGCCGCGUGAGUGAUGAAGGCCUUAGGGUUGUAAAGCUCUUUUACCCGGGAUGAUAAUGACAGUACCGGGAGAAUAAGCUCCGGCUAACUCCGUG
This 433-nucleotide ribosomal RNA is filed under the name uncultured bacterium. RNAcentral describes it as "partial 16S ribosomal RNA". It matches the Rfam family "Bacterial small subunit ribosomal RNA", at positions 29 to 507 of the family's 1533-position model. The record is from RNAcentral.